AACGAACGCUGGCGGCGUGGCUAAGACAUGCAAGUCGAACGGACUGUCCAAUUUAUUGAACAGUUAGUGGCGAAAGGGUUAGUAACGGAUGGGUAACGUACCCUGUGCUUUGGGAUAGCGUCUAGUUGCUUCGGCAACUUUCCGAAAGGGGCGGUAAUACCAAAUAAUAUCAUUUGUCGAUAGGCAGAUGACCAAAGAUUUAUCGGCACAGGAGCGGCCUGUCUCCUAUCAGCUUGUUGGUGAGGUAAUGGCUCACCAAGGCAUCGACGGGUAGCGGGACUGAGAGGUUGACCCGCAACAUCGGGACUGAGACACUGCCCGGACCUCCACGGAGGGCUGCAGUAACGGAUAUUGUGCAAUGGGCGAAAGCCUGACACAGCGACGCCGCGUGUAGGAGGAAGUCUUUCGGGAUGUAAACUACUGUCAGGGGGAAGAAAGUGCGCUUCGGCGUAUUGAUCUAACC
Molecule: ribosomal RNA, 463 nt
Filed under: uncultured bacterium
Lineage: Bacteria
Description: bacterial SSU rRNA
Rfam family: Bacterial small subunit ribosomal RNA
Source: RNAcentral